CCAAACUGUUGCCUCGGCGGGAUCUCUGCCCCGGGUGCGUCGCAGCCCCGGACCAAGGCGCCCGCCGGAGGACCAACCAAAACUCUUUUUGUAUACCCCCUCGCGGGUUUUUUAUAAUCUGAGCCUUCUCGGCGCCUCUCGUAGGCGUUUCGAAAAUGAAUCAAAACUUUCAACAACGGAUCUCUUGGUUCUGGCAUCGAUGAAGAACGCAGCGAAAUGCGAUAAGUAAUGUGAAUUGCAGAAUUCAGUGAAUCAUCGAAUCUUUGAACGCACAUUGCGCCCGCCAGUAUUCUGGCGGGCAUGCCUGUCCGAGCGUCAUUUCAACCCUCGAACCCCUCCGGGGGGUCGGCGUUGGGGAUCGGCCCUGCCUCUUGGCGGUGGCCGUCUCCGAAAUACAGUGGCGGUCUCGCCGCAGCCUCUCCUGCGCAGUAGUUUGCACACUCGCAUCGGGAGCGCGGCGCGUCCACAGCCGUUAAACACCCAACUUCUGAAAUGUUGACCUCGGAUCAGGUAGGAAUACCCGCUGAACUUAAGCAUAUCAAUAAGUCGGAGGAA
This 555-nucleotide ribosomal RNA is filed under the name Trichoderma harzianum. RNAcentral's name for it is "eukaryotic LSU rRNA". The stretch from base 165 to 318 matches the Rfam family "5.8S ribosomal RNA". The record is from RNAcentral. Lineage: Eukaryota; Fungi; Ascomycota; Sordariomycetes; Hypocreales; Hypocreaceae.